RNAcentral lists this long non-coding RNA (526 nucleotides) under Capra hircus (goat). RNAcentral describes it as "lncRNA (ENSCHIG00000002834.1)". Lineage: Eukaryota; Metazoa; Chordata; Mammalia; Artiodactyla; Bovidae. The record is from RNAcentral.
GUGGAGGGGGAAGUGAAGGAUCUUUGGAUUCAGGAUGGAGGCUCAAGCUCAAAACCAGGCUGCUGGGGAGCGUGGAACCAGGAGCUUUAUUUCUGCCGCCUGAGAGAGGCUUCCUUCCUAGGACACAGCCCUGUGCAUGGACAGGUGAAAGCGGUGGAGAAGCCCAGUCCACGUGACAAGCUGUCUCACCUAUCAAACCCCUGCUCACAGCAGGAGCUUGAACAAAUACCACUGAGUCAGCCCCUGCUCCAAAUAAAUGAUGUGAGUUCUGCGGUUUCUGCUAGAAAUGUAUGGAUCUCCAGGAAAUGAUCAUAUACCGUGUGGCUCUACUAUUCCUGCCCUAGAGGCCAUUGCCCCGUGCUGGGUUGACGUGGUUUCUGUCUGCACAGCCUCCCUGCCUUUGGGGAGCCCUCCUCUCCUCUUCUGUGUGGCUCUGGUGAGAUUGAGUCCUAGUAGCUCCUCAUCUGGCUGCAUAUGCACCAUAUGUAAGGUGGCUUGCAAUAAAACUUUUUUCCCUUUGUUUUCA